RNAcentral lists this ribosomal RNA (326 nucleotides) under uncultured Anoxybacillus sp. Its description in RNAcentral is "bacterial SSU rRNA". It matches the Rfam family "Bacterial small subunit ribosomal RNA", at positions 1054 to 1382 of the family's 1533-position model. The record is from RNAcentral. Lineage: Bacteria; Bacillati; Bacillota; Bacilli; Caryophanales; Anoxybacillaceae.
GUCAGCUCGUGUCGUGAGAUGUUGGUUAAGUCCGCAACGAGCGCAACCCUCGACCUUAGUUGCCAGCAUUCAGUUGGGCACUCUAAGGUGACUGCCGGCUAAAAGUCGGAGGAAGGUGGGGAGUGACGUCAAAUCAUCAUGCCCCUUAUGACCUGGGCUACACACGUGCUACAAUGGGCGGUACAAAGGGUCGCGAACCCGCGAGGGGGAGCCAAUCCCAAAAAGCCGCUCUCAGUUCGGAUUGCAGGCUGCAACUCGCCUGCAUGAAGCCGGAAUCGCUAGUAAUCGCGGAUCAGCAUGCCGCGGUGAAUACGUUCCCGGGCCUU